UUGUGCCUCGGAACCGUGAGACAGGUGCUGCAUGGCUGUCGUCAGCUCGUGUUGUGAGAUGUUGGGUUAAGUCCCGCAACGAGCGCAACCCCCUAUCCUUAGUUGCCAGCGGGUAAUGCCGGGAACUCUAGGGAGACUGCCGGUGAUAAACCGGAGGAAGGUGGGGACGACGUCAAGUCAUCAUGGCCCUUACGGGAUGGGCUACACACGUGCUACAAUGGCGCAUACAAAGGGCAGCAAACCUGCGAGGGUAAGCGAAUCUCAUAAAGUGCGUCGUAGUCCGGAUUGGAGUCUGCAACUCGACUCCAUGAAGUCGGAAUCGCUAGUAAUCGUGAAUCAGAAUGUCACGGUGAAUACGUUCCCGGGCCUU
RNAcentral lists this ribosomal RNA (370 nucleotides) under uncultured Idiomarina sp. RNAcentral describes it as "bacterial SSU rRNA". It matches the Rfam family "Bacterial small subunit ribosomal RNA", at positions 1012 to 1382 of the family's 1533-position model. Lineage: Bacteria; Pseudomonadati; Pseudomonadota; Gammaproteobacteria; Alteromonadales; Idiomarinaceae. The record is from RNAcentral.